CCAAUAGCGUAUAUUAAAGUUGUUGCAGUUAAAAAGCUCGUAGUUGAACUUCGGGGUUUACUCAUUGGUCAGGCUUAAUUGUCUGUACUGGUGAGAUGAAUCUCUACCUUCUGAGGAACUUUCAUGCCAUUUAUUUGGUGUGAUGGGAAAUCAGGACUGUUACUUUGAAAAAAUUAGAGUGUUUAAAGCAGGCUAACGUCUGAAUACAUUAGCAUGGAAUAAUGAAAUAGGACGGACUGAUUCUAUUUCGUUGGUUUCUAGGAUCACCGUAAUGAUUAAUAGGGAUAGUUGGGGGCAUUAGUAUUCAAUUGUCAGAGGUGAAAUUCUUGGAUUUAUUGAAGACUGACUACUGCGAAAGCAUUUGCCAAGGAUGUUUUCAUUAAUCAAGAACGAAAGUUAGGGGAUCGAAGACGAUCAGAUACCGUCGUAGUCUUAACCAUAAACUAUGCCGACUAGGGAUCGGGCGAAGUUAAUUUUAUAAUGACGCGUUCGGCACCUUACG
Molecule: ribosomal RNA, 502 nt
Filed under: uncultured Glomeromycotina
Lineage: Eukaryota; Fungi; Glomeromycota
Description: partial small subunit ribosomal RNA
Rfam family: Eukaryotic small subunit ribosomal RNA
Source: RNAcentral